This 285-nucleotide ribosomal RNA is filed under the name Triticum aestivum (bread wheat). Its description in RNAcentral is "partial small subunit ribosomal RNA". Lineage: Eukaryota; Viridiplantae; Streptophyta; Magnoliopsida; Poales; Poaceae. The record is from RNAcentral.
AUGAUCCAAUAUGCUCACAAACGAAAACUGCCAGUCAUUGCUUUGAAGCUGGAUUUUCAUAAGGCCUUCGAUAGCAUGAGUUGGUGCUGCCUCCGCAAGAUCCUUGAUGCCAGGGGCUUCCCACAAGUGUGGAAAUGGAUACACGCUCUCUUGUCUUCUGGCAGCUCUAGAGUUCUACUAAAUGGGGAGUUGGGCCUGCUCAUCAAGGCAAAGAAAGGGUUUCGGCAAGGGGAUUCUCUUUCCCCUUACCUUUUCAUCCUGGUCGCUGAUGUGCUGCAGAGGAUG